This is a long non-coding RNA of Gadus macrocephalus (Pacific cod), 559 nucleotides long. RefSeq lists it as uncharacterized. Lineage: Eukaryota; Metazoa; Chordata; Actinopteri; Gadiformes; Gadidae. The transcript is spliced from 2 exons. The record is from RefSeq and is a predicted model, not a curated record.
CUUUAAAAUUCCAAAGCAAAGACACAGCCCGAGGAAUGUUUUCAUUUCUGUUUUCGGGACCGGGGUCCACUUGAGGUCGUGGGGGUCUGAGCUCGUACCUGUUGCGCGUACCGAUUCGUUUCGGUCAAUAACGUUGGAUCAACCGGCACAAAAUAAUUCUCGUCCUCAUUCUCAUACUCAAAUCCCUUGAAUUCUAUGACAAUAUCACUGCCAUCGCUAUCAAAAUCCUCCAUGUUCAUUGCUACUUCUCGGUCGCCAGCUAGACGCGUCGCUAAAAACAAACAUAGAAUAUCGCGUGGCUAUAUGAUUGAUUGACGUGAUUUUCAGCCAACCAAAGUUCGUUUUGGUGGUCUCCUGAUCUUUACCAAAGCCUUAAGACCCACCCCAUGUGUAUUUUUAACCAACCAGAGUGAGUUAUAUGCUGCAUUCGUCAUGAAAACAGCACGUGUACAAAAUGCUGCGCUACGCAGCAACCGGCAGGAAAGCCUAUGUUGCGCUAUGCAGCAACCGGCAGGAGGGGCUAUGCUGCGCUACGCAGCAUCCGGCGCCAAUGGGUUAA